AUGGCGGCGUCGGAGGGGGCAAUGCGGAUGGGCAAGUACGAGAUGGGGCGGACGCUCGGGGAGGGGCACUUCGGCAAGGUGAGGCUGGCGCGGCACGCCGACACCGGCCGCGCCUUCGCCAUCAAGAUCCUCGACCGCCAGCGCAUCCUCGCCAUGAAGAUCGACGAGCAGAUAAAGACGGAGAUCGCGACGCUGAAGCUGCUCAAGCACCCCAACGUCGUCCGCCUCUACGAGGUUGCCGCAAGCAAGACCAAGAUAUACAUGGUCCUCGAGUACGUAAACGGAGGAGAGCUAUUUGAGAAAAUCGCACUAAAGGGCAAGCUCUCAGAGAAAGAAGGGAGGAAACUGUUCCAGCAACUAAUGGAUGCUGUAAGCUAUUGCCACGAGAGGGGUGUUUAUCAUAGGGACCUUAAGCCCGAGAAUGUCCUGGUUGAUGCAAAGGGGAACAUAAAGGUCUCUGAUUUUGGACUAAGUGCCCUUCCACAGCAUCAACGGAAAGAUGGAUUACUGCAUACCACGUGUGGCAGCCCUAACUACAUAGCCCCUGAGGUCCUUCUCAACAAAGGUUAUGAUGGCUCUAUGUCAGAUGUAUGGUCCUGUGGUGUUAUCCUCUAUGUGAUGCUUACAGGGAAUCUUCCGUUCGAUGACGAAAAUAUGGUUGUCCUUUAUCAGAAGAUUCUGAAAGGGGAUUAUCGUAUUCCUAAAUGGCUUUCGCCAGGAGCCCAAGAUAUACUGCGAAAACUCCUGGAUCCGAACCCCAUUACCCGCCUUGGCAUGGACGGAAUAAGGGAGCACGAUUGGUUCAAUCAAAGUUAUACUCCAGCAGUGCCUUUUGAUGAUGAUGACGAUAAUUACGUUGGUGAUGACAACUCCCACAUGACCAAGCACGAUGGCAUUCAAGACAAUCCCGCAAUCAACCAGAUGAAUGCUUUUCAACUCAUCGGAAUGUCCUCGUGCCUUGAUUUAUCUGGGUUUUUUGAGAAAGAAGAUGUCUCGGAAAGAAAAACCAGAUUUGCAUCAAACUAUCCCCCUACUUAUCUAUUUGAGAAGAUAGAGAGCAAUGUCAUAAAUAUGGGCUUCCAAGUACAGAAGAACAAUGGCAAGCUAAAAGUGAUCCAAGAGCGCAAGGGACCAACAAAUCCAAGAGGGCAUGGAUCAUUAUUAAUUUCUGCUGAGGUGUUUGAGAUCAAUGAAUCUCUUUAUGUUGUUGAGCUCAAAAGGUCAUGUGGAGACUGCUCCCUAUACAGACAGCUGUGUGCAACGCUCUCAGACGACUUGGGAAUAUGCAAAAGCCAGCAACUUCUGAAGAAUGACUCUAUAAGACAAGAGCUUUAUCGAUUUAAUAGUAGCUUUUGA
This 1356-nucleotide ribosomal RNA is filed under the name Triticum aestivum (bread wheat). RNAcentral describes it as "partial small subunit ribosomal RNA". Lineage: Eukaryota; Viridiplantae; Streptophyta; Magnoliopsida; Poales; Poaceae. The record is from RNAcentral.